Molecule: long non-coding RNA, 98 nt
Organism: Thalassophryne amazonica
Lineage: Eukaryota; Metazoa; Chordata; Actinopteri; Batrachoidiformes; Batrachoididae
Exons: 3
Source: RefSeq, a predicted model, not a curated record
CCAAAAUUUGAGUCGCAUUCAGGAGGGACAGACAUUUGGACAGCCGUGUAUGAAUGCCAUAUGACCACUUAGAAUGUGGGCGGAUCCCGCCUCAACUG